This 153-nucleotide ribosomal RNA is filed under the name uncultured fungus. RNAcentral's name for it is "5.8S ribosomal RNA". It matches the Rfam family "5.8S ribosomal RNA". From Rfam's summary of the family: 5.8S ribosomal RNA (5.8S rRNA) is a component of the large subunit of the eukaryotic ribosome. It is transcribed by RNA polymerase I as part of the 45S precursor that also contains 18S and 28S rRNA. The record is from RNAcentral. Lineage: Eukaryota; Fungi.
CAACUUUCAGCAAUGGAUCUCUUGGCUCUCGCAUCGAUGAAGAACGCAGCGAAUUGCGAUAAGUAAUGUGAAUUGCAGAUUUUCAGUGAAUCAUCGAAUCUUUGAACGCACCAUGAGGCUCCUUGGUAUUCCGAGGAGCAUGCCUGUUUGAGU